Molecule: long non-coding RNA, 2930 nt
Organism: Mirounga angustirostris (Northern elephant seal)
Lineage: Eukaryota; Metazoa; Chordata; Mammalia; Carnivora; Phocidae
Exons: 5
Source: RefSeq, a predicted model, not a curated record
ACUCCACAGGUAAUGGCAGAGGUCUAAGGAGGACUUCGCCCUGCAAGAGUUUAAAAAUGACGGCUUUGGGAGAUUAACCCACAGGGUACUACUGCUUGUUACUGCUGCUGGGAGAGAAGUGGGGUCUCUCAUCUCCAAAACUGGAGACAAGGAAAUGGAGGCACAGAAAAGUGAAUUGGUCAAAACAGUGCAGCUAAAAAGUGGUAGGGCCAGGGUUUCAGUGCCUAAGGCUUUCCUUAUGCUCUGCUACCUGCUGGAACCAACGCUCUAUAAUCCUGGACUUCAGUUCUCCAUUGGCUUAGACUGUGUCUCUGCUCCCUUCCAGCUCACUUGUCCUCUAAGCCUGGCCUGCGCCCUCUCCCAGCUACAUCCAGGUGGUCCAGUAAAGGCCUGACUGAAGGGGUCAUGUGAGCUGAGACCUGAAGGAGAAAAAUGAGUCAGCUAUGAAUAGAGUCGCCAUGGAAAGAACAUUUCAGAAGGAUGGAGUCAUGAGUGCAAAGACCCUAAGAUCCACUCUUUGCUCUCCUCCUCCAGUUCUGUGCCUGGUAGGCUGACUGACACAGGACUCCCUCCCUACUUGGGCCCCUUUGCUGUCUUCCGGGGAGCAGGAGACUCUGGUAGGAGAUGAGGGGCUGCAAGAGGACACAAGUCGUUUGCAGCCUGCAGUACUAGUAACCUACUGAUCCUGGGACCACCAUCUGCAUCAUCUAUCAGAAUAAAUCCCCUGAAGGAAAACAGAAAUCCUGCAUUAGCAUGGACUCUGGAGGAUGACAUUCAAGCUCCCAGUCUCCUCUCUCUGGCGGACACUUUUCUUGUCAGUCUCCAGAUGAGGAAACUGAGGCCCAGAAAAGCUAAACAUUUCCUGAGCACGCAUAGCCAAUAAUUGUUGGAGCCAGGAUUCAAACUGUCUGAUUCUGAGUUGGUGCUCUUUCUGUAACCUCACCUUCUGCAGUGAGAUCAGAGAGGAGCAGGAGCACUGAUGGUGGGGAUGGAGUAGGAGCAGAACUGACUCUGUCAUGGGCUGAGGUGGGGGUUGUGGCAAGUUAUGGAAAGAAGAUGACACUGGUUGAGACCCUGAAGAAUGAAUGAAGUUCAUUAGGUUACCUAAGGGUGUAACAAUGGGGAAGAGCAUGACUCCACUAGAAGGAAACUCUGCAAGGGUUUGGAGGCAUACAAGGAUAGAGUUGCAGGGAGUCUGUUAUGGUCCUUAUCUGGGCUAAGUUUUGGGGGAAGGGGCCAAAGAUAACCAUUUCAUCUUUUUAACAAAUAUUUGAGUGCCAGGGCACCUGGAUGGCUAAGUUGUUAAGCAUCUGCCUUUGGCUUGGGUCAUUAUCCCAGAGUCCUGGGAUCAAGUCCCACGCCAGGCUCCCUGCUCAGUGGGAAGUCUGCUUCUCCCUCUCUCACUGCCCCUGCUUGUGUUCCCUUUCUUGCUGUCCCUCUCUCUGUCAAAUAAAUAAAUAAAAUCUUUUAAAAGAAUAUUUGAGUGCCAAUGUUGUGCCAGUCUCUGGUGGAGGCACUGGCCAUAUACUGGCAACCAAAAUAGACAGGGGCCCUGUCUAUAUGGGGCUAUCCUUGAGACAGACAUUAAAUGAAUCUAUGAAUAUCCCAACAAACCACAUAUCAUACAUAUCAGCUAGUGAGAUGCUGAGAAUUUAAGUAGUACCAUGAGAAAUAGAUCAUGGGUUAGGCCCCUCUGACGAGGUGACCUUUAAGUUGAUAUCUGAAGACCAAGCAUGAGCCAUGGGGAAGGGCAUUCCAGGUGGGGAGAUAAGCAAGGGCAAAGGCCUAUGGUGGGAAAACUGGGCCAAAGAAUACAUCGCAACCAAACCUACAUUCCAGUGUGCGCUUAUGUUUGUCAUGUGAUCACCCUAGGGGGCCGUGAUGUUUGCCUCCAACAGGUUCAUGCAGGAGGGCCCCAUUUUGGAAAUGUUCCUAAUGUAUUAUGGGUUCCAAAUUACAUAGAAACCACUCACAUGUUCAACCCAAAUCCCUUCCCAAACGGACAGGCAGCCUGGAAUGUUAUUUAGGCCGUGCAUUGUUAAGAUGUGCUUGCUUUGUUUGUUCUGCCUGGGCCCUGUUUCCACCCUUUCCCAUCUGAACAGUUCUGCCAGUGAGCAAAUUGCCAAAUUUUAACCAAAUAGCACCAAUUAUGCUUCCCCCUUUAUUUUCACUGUAGCCAUGAAAAACAAAACUCCAUUAAUAAUCUCCAGAGUGUUCCCUUUCUAAACCUACGUUAAAUGAGGUUUUACCAUUGGGAUCAUUUGAAGACUGUCUGUUUCCAUUAAUUAAACAUGAACUUCUUUUCCCAUCUACCCACCCUGCUCUUGGUUUGGAAUGUUUCUUGGAAGUAAUUUUUAUUGUUUAGCAGGAAAAUUGAGAUGUACAGGCUGUUCAAUUAUUUCCUAUUUACCCAAGAAAAAGCAGGUAGAAGCUAUGAGGAAACAAUGGAAAGUCACAUCCUUUUCCCAGCCUCCAUCCCCUCCCUUGUCCUAUGCCUGCUCAACUUCCAUGUCCCCUUCUGCUCCUUACUUCCGAGUAAGUGCCCUCCUCCUCCUUCCCCUGCCCAUGGGGUGGUCAUGUGACUCAUUCCUGAUGGCCAUGUGACCCAGAGCCAACCAAUCAGCCCCCUCACAGCCACAGGAAUUGAGUCAGGCAUGGACAUGUGAUCUGAGCCAGGUUACUGAGUGUCAGAUCAAGGACUGGUGUUGAAAGAUGGGGGUAAAAGCACCUUUUCUCAUGGGGGGGCUAUUGAGCUGGGAGCAUUUGGGCUUGCAGCUCCUGUUGUCUAUCUUGCAAAAAGCCUGGUCAAGGGAGAAACUGAGACAGAUUCUUGAAAAUAUUUCUUGAAUACUUAGAUGCAUCCAUGUCCUGAAGCCAGUAUAAUCUCAGACUUCUCAAUCAUGUGAACCAAUAAAUAUAAUUUAUUCUUC